This 458-nucleotide ribosomal RNA is filed under the name uncultured bacterium. RNAcentral's name for it is "bacterial SSU rRNA". It matches the Rfam family "Bacterial small subunit ribosomal RNA", at positions 340 to 786 of the family's 1533-position model. The record is from RNAcentral.
UACGGGAGGCAGCAGUGGGGAAUAUUGCACAAUGGGCGAAAGCCUGAUGCAGCUAUGCCGCGUGUAUGAAGAAGGCCUUAGGGUUGUAAAGUACUUUCAUCGGGGAGGAAAAAACAAAACUAAUAAUUUUAUUUCUUGACGUUACCCGAAAAAGAAGCACCGGCUAACUCCGUGCCAGCAGCCGCGGUAAUACGGAGGGUGCUAGCGUUAAUCAGAAUUACUGGGCGUAAAGAGCACGUAGGUGGUUUUUUUAAAGUCAGAUGUGAAAUCCCUGGGCUUAACCUGGAACUGCAUUUUGAAACUGAAAUACUAGAGUAUCGUAGAGGGAGGUAGAAUUCUAGGUGUAGCGGUGAAAUGCGUAGAUAUCUGGAGGAAUACCUGUGGCGAAAGCGGCCUCCUAAACCGGAAUACUGACACUGAGGUGCGAAAGCGUGGGGAGCAAACAGGGAUUAGAUACC